GGGAAUAGUUGUCACAUAAGGUUCCUAUUUGGCAUUUGAGCUGGAAAAUUGAUGAGGUUCCUGGUUCACUACUUCAGAGAGCAUGUUCUACCUGGAAUUUUUAAUUAUACUGUACGAUACAAUUCAUUGCACAUGUAUUGUCAAUGAUACACUAGAAACUUUACUUAAAGAUUCACUCUAAGCCCCAGGGAAGGUGUAGAUAGGGCUUUAUAAACAAAGUGAUCUAUCUCUUAAAUGGCAGAAAAUUGAACAUUAAGACUGCAUGGGCAUGAUCUAUGCACCACAACCACUUCAUUAGACACUGUAGGCACUUUAGCAGCUUCAUCCCGCACUGUGGUGGCUAUAGCAUGCGGAGUCCCUUGGCACAGUCCUUUUAUUCAGUGUUAAAACAAUUUUAGUAUUUUAAUAGUAUCUAUGUAGCGUGGACUAAUAAGGAAGCAUUAGCUGUGAUUGGCUGAGAGUUUUAAUUGACCGCUUUCAGCCUAUCACAGUGCCUGUUGAUGGUAUGAAUAGGUGUGACAACAAGGAAGUGUGUAAUCUCUGCCUUAGUCAUAAUUCCAUUAGGAGCUGUGCUGUGGGUGGCCGGGAACCCUUAUUUAAUAUUACAUUGCUUGAAAAUAGUUUAACUUUGAAUAGAGAGACAAUGUCAGGCGACUUCAGACACUAUAACCAAUUUAAUGAUAUGAAAUAUUUAUAGUGCCUACAGUGUCCCUUUAAGCUAAAGUUAUUUUGGUGCCUAGAGCGUCCCUUUAAGGAUUACGAUUAUAGCUAACAAAACUCCAAUACAUGUAUAUUCAUUUCUAUAGUAAAAUAUUUAUACAUGAUAAAUUAUUACAAAAAAAAAAUCCCUACCAUACACAAAGAAAAAACAAUUUUUACACAUCAGGAAAAUAAUACGAUUUGAUAUGCCAGAUAUUCACAUAGUUUCUUUUCAAAUUUUGCCGUGCACAACAUGUGUAAUAAUGCUCGAGGGUCUCCGGUGUAGCAAAUGAUGUCUCCGAUGUGGCAAAAUGAUAAUAGCAGAAAAGCAAAUUAUGACAAUCCAGUACAGAGCUCUCCUCUACUCUCUCACCAGAAUCAUAUUUCAACAAAGAUUCAUGUUAAAAGAUGGAAAGGUCGGCUUGACCUUCAUAACUUGGAGAAAAUAUCUAUGAUUUUAAAUUUUUUUUCCAUUUUUAACU
This is a non-coding RNA of Pelobates cultripes (western spadefoot toad), 1181 nucleotides long. Lineage: Eukaryota; Metazoa; Chordata; Amphibia; Anura; Pelobatidae. The record is from the annotation of a GenBank genome assembly.